AUUGAACGCUGGCGGAAUGCUUUACACAUGCAAGUCGAACGGCAGCACGGACUUCGGUCUGGUGGCGAGUGGCGAACGGGUGAGUAAUGUAUCGGAACGUGCCCAGUCGUGGGGGAUAACGUAGUGAAAAUUACGCUAAUACCGCAUACGAUCUAUGGAUGAAAGCGGGGGAUCGCAAGACCUCGCGCGAUUGGAGCGGCCGAUAUCAGAUUAGGUAGUUGGUGGGGUAAAGGCCCACCAAGCCAACGAUCUGUAGCUGGUCUGAGAGGACGACCAGCCACCCUGGAACUGAGACACGGUCCAGACUCCUGCGGGAGGCAGCAGUGGGGAAUUUCGGACAAUGGGCGAAAGCCUGAUCCAGCCAUUCCGCGUGCAGGAUGAAGGCCCUCGGGUUGUAAACUGCUUUUGUACAGAACGAAAAGGUUUCUACUAAUACUAGGAGCUCAUGACGGUACUGUAAGAAUAAGCACCGGCUAACUACGUGCCAGCCGCCGCCGUAA
RNAcentral lists this ribosomal RNA (500 nucleotides) under uncultured bacterium. RNAcentral describes it as "partial 16S ribosomal RNA". It matches the Rfam family "Bacterial small subunit ribosomal RNA", at positions 30 to 523 of the family's 1533-position model. The record is from RNAcentral.